GGGGCAUGCUCAUGGGUUAAAUUCACUUGUUUGUUUUUCCUUUUUUGGGGGGCCGCAUUCGAGAGACAUGGAAGGUCCCUGGGCCAGGGAUUGAAUCAGAGCCGCAUGGGCGACCUACGCCACAGCUGAGGUAACACGGGACCCUUAACCCACUGCAGCACAGCGGGAACUCCCUGCUGCACGUCUCUGAGCCACACUGUCUUCCUUGAGGAGGCGCUGCUGAGGGUGACGGAGACCCCCCUACUGGAGGUGCCACUGAGGUGUGGCAGGGAGGGGGCAUCCAUCCAUCUGUCCCCAGGCCUCGGACCCUGGUGCCUGAGAGACACGGAUGCUGCAAGACUCCAUCUCCAGCACCACCACUGCUGCGCUCAGACCCUGGGGCUCUGUCAGGAGUCUGCCCUGCACGGCUUUUAUCAAAACAUCCAAAACUAGGCCAGAGACAAGGCCAGGGAACCUGCAGCCCUCGGGCCACUCCAGGCCGCCUACCAGGUUCCGGCAGAGCUGCCGGGCGGGAAGUGGACCCCGCGGGCACUUUCGAGCCUCUGCACCCCAGCGUCCCUUCUGCUGCCGAAAGAGUUCUCCACAGAGCGCUGCUGGAGUCCGGGAGCCUGGAGUCCGUGAACCUGGACGAGAAAACAGUCACAUCCAUAUCGGCACCAACUAAAUUCAGCAUCGCCCUGCCUUGUGAAUGUGAGCAGCAAAACCCAGUGAGGUCUGUGGUUUUGCCACCAAUGUUAUCAACCACAAACCCCACUGGGUUUCCGAGCGUCCUACCUUUAUUGCAGAAAUUUCAGGACGGCAUUUGGACUCAAAUCACGGUAGUUCUUAAAUCCGCUACUAGAUAUUCUUUUAAAUGUGCUAGGAAGAAGUAGGAGUUCCCCGGUGGCCUAGCUGGUUAGGAAUCCUGCAUUAUCACUGCUGUAGCUGGGUUAGAUUCCUGGCCUGGGAGUGUCUGCAGGCUGCUGGCCAAAAAAAAAAAGAAGAAGAAGGAGAAAAGGAAGAGGAAGAGGAAGAAAAGAAGAAGAGGCAUGUAUAUUAAACAAUAGUUUGACAAAUUUCAGUGCAUUUGGCUUCCUUUAUAAUCCUACGUAUUUUGCUAUUUUGCAUUGUGCAUUUAAAAACAUGAUCCUGGAGUUCCCGUCGUGGCGCAGUGGUUGACGGGUCCGACUAGGAACCAUGAGGUUGCGGGUUCGGUCCCUGCCCUUGCUCAGUGGGUUGGCGAUCCGGCGUUCCCGACAGUGACCCAAGCCACCGCAGUGAAAAUGCUGGAUCCUUAACCUGCUGCACC
Molecule: long non-coding RNA, 1288 nt
Filed under: Sus scrofa (pig)
Lineage: Eukaryota; Metazoa; Chordata; Mammalia; Artiodactyla; Suidae
Description: lncRNA (ENSSSCG00005020627.1)
Source: RNAcentral